Molecule: ribosomal RNA, 460 nt
Filed under: uncultured bacterium
Lineage: Bacteria
Description: partial 16S ribosomal RNA
Rfam family: Bacterial small subunit ribosomal RNA
Source: RNAcentral
CCUACGGGAGACAGCAGUGAGGAAUAUUGGUCAAUGGCCGUAAGGCUGAACCAGCCAAGUCGCGUGAAGGAAGAAGGAUCUAUGGUUUGUAAACUUCUUUUAUAGGGGAAUAAAGGUAUCCACGUGUGGAUAUUUGCAUGUACCCUAUGAAUAAGCAUCGGCUAACUCCGUGCCAGCAGCCGCGGUAAUACGGAGGAUGCGAGCGUUAUCCGGAUUUAUUGGGUUUAAAGGGUGCGUAGGUUGUUUUUUAAGUCAGCGGUGAAAGUUUGUGGCUCAACCAUAAAAUUGCCGUUGAAACUGGCAGACUUGAGUGUGUUUGAGGUAGGCGGAAUGCGUGGUGUAGCGGUGAAAUGCAUAGAUAUCACGCAGAACUCCGAUUGCGAAGGCAGCUUACUAAGCCAUAACUGACACUGAAGCACGAAAGCGUGGGGAUCAAACAGGAUUAGAUACCCCAGUAGUC